Molecule: ribosomal RNA, 241 nt
Filed under: uncultured Actinomycetales bacterium
Lineage: Bacteria; Bacillati; Actinomycetota; Actinomycetes; Actinomycetales
Description: partial 16S ribosomal RNA
Rfam family: Bacterial small subunit ribosomal RNA
Source: RNAcentral
ACUCGAGUGGCGAACGGGCGAGUAACACGUGGGUGAUCUGCCCUGCACUUCGGGAUAAGCUUGGGAAACUGGGUCUAAUACCGGAUAGGAGCCAUCUUUAGUGUGGUGGUUGGAAAGUUUUUCGGUGUAGGAUGAGCUCGCGGCCUAUCAGCUUGUUGGUGGGGUAAUGGCCUACCAAGGCGGCGACGGGUAGCCGGCCUGAGAGGGUGUACGGCCACAUUGGGACUGAGGUACGGCCCAG